GAUGAACGCUGGCGGCGUGCCUAAUACAUGCAAGUCGAGCGAACGGACCAUACGCUUGCUUCUCUGUUGUUAGCCGCGGACGGGUGAGUAACACGUGGAUCCCCUACCUAUCAUUCUGAGAUCUCUUCGGGACACCGGCGCUUAUACCGUAUAAUCUUUUGCACCGCAUGGUUCAAAAGUGAAAGACGGUCUUGCUGUCACUUCUCGCUGCAUCCGGGCUGCAUUAGCUAGUUGUUAAGUUAACGGCUUACGAAGGCAACGAUGCAUAGACGAACUGAGAGGGUGAUAGGCCACAUGGGAACUGAGACACGGUCAAGAGGCCUAAGAGAGGCAGCAGUAGGGAAUCGGACGCAAUGGGCGAAAGCAUGACGGAGUAAGGCCGAGUGAGUGAUGAAGGUGUUGGGAGCGUAAAAAUCUGUUAUUAGGGAAGAACAGAUGUGGAAGGAACUGUGCACAGAGUGACGGUAACUAAUCAGAAAGCAACGGCUAACUACGUG
This 497-nucleotide ribosomal RNA is filed under the name uncultured bacterium. RNAcentral describes it as "partial 16S ribosomal RNA". It matches the Rfam family "Bacterial small subunit ribosomal RNA", at positions 28 to 507 of the family's 1533-position model. The record is from RNAcentral.